CAUCACCACCUGAGAAUGAGCCACAAGAUAUCCAUCUUUUCAUAGAGCUUCCAAGAGCAGUCUUCAUGUAACUGGGUCUGGAACCACUGUGCCACAUGCUGGUUUUAUUGCUGUGAUAACAGAGAUUAGUCUAUUCCCUGUAUCAUAAGCACUAAAGCUGCAGCUGCUGAGAAGAACUGCUCCAGGCUAAGUCUUAACAAAUAUCUUGGCUGGUGAAUACAGAAACAUAGCAUCAUAGAAUGGUUUGAGUGGGAAGAGACCUUAAAGAUCAUCUGGUUCCAGCCCUCCUGCUAUAGGCAGGGACAUCUCAAAACCUACUCCAUUCCCUAUCCUUGUCCUGAUCCAAAUUCAGCCUUGGUGAUUUUUCACCUGAGCCAGUUUCCAUUCUAUUGGCUGGGAGAAUUAAUUGUAUCACCCAGUUUUUCAGAUUCUUCCUGCCUUGAAUGAGACACUCAGAACCCUGCAGGUUUUGUUGAUGCUGUUAUAAAUGACUGUAAUGUCUAUAAAACAUGCACUGUAGUUUUCUGUUUACAGCAUCCCCACAUCAUUUCAAUGUUGCACAGCUGUACAUAGCAUUCUCCUACUGCAACUUCAGAAUUUAAACUGGAGUCCCAGGUAAACCCUCCCACAAGGCUCUGUAUCCCCAGAAGAAGAAAAUAUUAAUGUGUGCAUGCCAAGUGCUGGUGAAAUGCUUGUUGGAGUGCAAACCAAUUGGUGGUGCCAGAAACCCCGUGGUAAAGGAGAGGUGAAAAGCAAGAUUUAAUGAAUUUCUCAGAGCCCCGAAUUUUCUUUAAUUGACAUUUUCUCUAUGCUGACAGGUUUCUGAGGGCUCCUAUGACAAAUAACUUUUGUAUUAAGGAGUCUUUCAGAUAGAGGCAGAAUUGUAUUUUCACACCCCAGGUAGAAAGGAUGCAGACACCAGGUGGAAUUUGUAGUGCUCCCUUUCCUGCAUCCCCAGCUGCCACAGGCGUUUGAAGAUUUCAGAUGGGGAAAUAAAUGAAUGGAUUUCUCCAAACCUCAUUCCUUGCACAAUCCUUUCACUCUUCAGGGGUACCAAAAUGAGCUCAGCCCAAGGAGAGAAAGAAUCAGAAGAAAUGUAUAAAAGUCAUAAGCCCUUUUGGACUUCUGUAACAUCUGUGUAGUGAUCCUUCUCUUCUCAACAGAUGCUUGCGCCAAUUUGUGUGUGCAACAAAGGGAAUGAAAUGCAUACUUCAGCAAAAGGUUUGGUGUCCUACAACACAGAGCAUACUGCUGCUCAGAGGGCUGGCCUCAGAGACCUCAGGAAAGCCACUCAAACAGAAGCUCAUGGCUGAAAUAUGUGAAUUUCCAAAAAGCUGUGAUGUUGGCCUUCAUCAGGCAAACCAUGAUCAUACAGCGAGCAAUGCUGCCUGGGAAGCAGUGACCAAAAAGGAUCUGAGGUCCAACUGUUAAGUCCCAACACCCAAUGUGAUGCUAUGGACAAUGAAGCUGAUGGGGCAUUGUGUGUUUGACGUGGAAGAGUGCAGUGCGUCUGCAGCCCUCGCUUUUGUGAGCUCUCUGCCAGGCUUGGAACUGCCCCAGAUCUGAUGAUGAACCUGCAGAAGAGAGCAGGAGGUGGACAGAAGGUUUCCUUGAGGUGCAUCAUGUUGGCGGGCUCUCCUCAGCUGAGCACUGCAUGUCCGAAGAAGGGCAAUAAAGCUGUGAAGUCUUAUGAGGAGUGGCUGAGGGAAGUGGGAUUGUUUCAGUCUGGAGAAGAGGCUCAGGGCAGACCUCAUUGCUUUCUGAAAGAAAGAUUCUGAGAACUCAAAUGGGAUCUCAAGUUAUGAAGGUACAGAUUAAAGGCCAUGAGAAGAUGUACAGAGAUAACUGUGGUGAGCUUGGAGGGACCACAUUCAUCCAUUCUGAGCUGCACUCAGUCAUUGGAUCAUCAGAGAAUCAUAGAAUGUCCCAAGUUGGCAGCAACCUCAACGAUCCUUGAGUCCAGCUCCUGGCUCCCUGCAGGACCACACAAGAACCAAACCAUAUGUCUGAGAGUGUUGUCUGAAUUCUUCUUGAACUCCAUGAGGCCUGGUGUCAUGACCACUGCCCUGGGGAGCCUACAAAGAAAGUAAAGCCUGAAUGCACGCUAAAGCCUCUCCUGCUGUGCUGCUUGUUCCAGCCUGGUAGGAGGAAGCUCAGCCCUCCUUAUGGAUCUGUCCUCAGAUAUGGGAAGAAGGUACAAAACACAGCAUAUAGAGCAACCAGUAGCUGUUACUGCUAGACGUCACAUAUUGAAGUCCUGCACUACCUCUAGACGUGGACACUGGGAAGAGACAGAGCAAAUAUCAGAUGUGUGCAUCAGCAGAACAGCCAACAGCUCCAGGAAUUCUGCAGGAGCAUCUCCAUUCCUCAGGGGCUCAUCGAGAUUGACAGUGUUUGUCAUGGGAAACGAAAACUUUCAGCAUUUCCAUUUGGAAGAGAGAAGUGCAAGGAGAAAGCUGCAUUCAGACUCUGUCAUCCCACUUUGUUUUGACUUCUGUGCUAAACCAAGACAAAACAGGAUGAAGCAAGACUCUGUGAAGCUAAAAUAAAGUUUUUUUUUUUUAAUCCCAAUAUGCUGAGAUUAAAAAAAAAUAAAAUAAAAUACCCGUGAGAGAUUUCAAAAUGUCAGCUAUCAAUUUUUGACAGAAAUUUUAAAGUUUUUGAAGGCACAAAAAUCUCUCUUGCCCAGGAAGUCUAAACUAAAGCCUCCAAAUGUCCCUACUGGGAGACAGGAUAAAUUAUAUUGCUGUUAAGAG
RNAcentral lists this long non-coding RNA (2756 nucleotides) under Gallus gallus (chicken). RNAcentral describes it as "lncRNA (ENSGALG00010019080.1)". Lineage: Eukaryota; Metazoa; Chordata; Aves; Galliformes; Phasianidae. The record is from RNAcentral.